AAGGGAAAAGGGACGAGGGCUGCCUCCGGGCGCCAACCUCCCACCCGUGAAUACCUUACCACUGUUGCUUCGGCGAGGAGCCCCUUCCGGGGGGCGAGCCGCCGGGGACCACAUGAACUUCUUGCUUGUAGAGUUGCGUCUGAGCCUGAAAUAUAAAUCAGUCAAAACUUUCAACAAUGGAUCUCUUGGUUCCGGCAUCGAUGAAGAACGCAGCGAACUGCGAUAAGUAAUGUGAAUUGCAGAAUUCAGUGAAUCAUCGAGUCUUUGAACGCACAUUGCGCCCCCUGGCAUUCCGGGGGGCAUGCCUGUCCGAGCGUCAUUGCUGCCCUUCAAGCCCGGCUUGUGUGUUGGGUCGUCGUCCCCUCCGGGGGACGGGCCCGAAAGGCAGCGGCGGCACCGCGUCCGGUCCUCGAGCGUAUGGGGCUUUGUCACCCGCUCGAUAAGGACCGGCCGGGCGCCAGCCGGCGUCUCCAACCUUUUUUUCUCAGGUUGACCUCGGAUCAGGUAGGGAUACCCGCUGAACUUAAGCAUAUCAAAAGCGGGGAAGAAAAUUAAAACCUGGC
This 563-nucleotide unclassified non-coding RNA is filed under the name Aspergillus caespitosus. Its description in RNAcentral is "sequence contains ITS1, 5.8S rRNA gene and ITS2". The stretch from base 166 to 319 matches the Rfam family "5.8S ribosomal RNA". Lineage: Eukaryota; Fungi; Ascomycota; Eurotiomycetes; Eurotiales; Aspergillaceae. The record is from RNAcentral.